GAUGAAGAACGCAGCGAAAUGCGAUAAGUAAUGUGAAUUGCAGAAUUCAGUGAAUCAUCGAAUCUUUGAACGCACAUUGCGCCCCUUGGUAUUCCGGGGGGCAUGCCUGUUCGAGCGUCAUUAUCACCCCUCAAGCUCAGCUUGGUGUUGGGGCCUGCCGUCAAGGCAGCCCUUAAAAUCAGUGGCGGCGCCAUCUGGCUCUAAGCGUAGUAAUACUUCUCGCUACAGGGCCCCGGUGGUGUCUUGCCAGAACCCCUCAUUUUUUAUGAUUGACCUCGGAUCAGGUAGGGAUACCCGCUGAACUUAAGCAUAUCAAUAAGCGGAGGA
This 327-nucleotide unclassified non-coding RNA is filed under the name soil metagenome. RNAcentral describes it as "partial contains 5.8S ribosomal RNA, internal transcribed spacer 2, and large subunit ribosomal RNA". The stretch from base 1 to 120 matches the Rfam family "5.8S ribosomal RNA", at positions 35 to 154 of the family's 154-position model. The record is from RNAcentral.